Molecule: unclassified non-coding RNA, 87 nt
Filed under: Pseudomonas fragi
Lineage: Bacteria; Pseudomonadati; Pseudomonadota; Gammaproteobacteria; Pseudomonadales; Pseudomonadaceae
Source: RNAcentral
CGUGGGAGCGGGCUUGCUCGCGAUGGCAUCACUGCGAUUUGGCUGAGACACCUCAUCGCUUGCAUCGCGAGCAAGCCCGCUCCCACA